RNAcentral lists this ribosomal RNA (697 nucleotides) under Streptococcus sp. HGB0007. Its description in RNAcentral is "bacterial SSU rRNA". It matches the Rfam family "Bacterial small subunit ribosomal RNA", at positions 80 to 762 of the family's 1533-position model. The record is from RNAcentral. Lineage: Bacteria; Bacillati; Bacillota; Bacilli; Lactobacillales; Streptococcaceae.
UUGCUCUUCUUGGAUGAGUUGCGAACGGGUGAGUAACGCGUAGGUAACCUGCCUUGUAGCGGGGGAUAACUAUUGGAAACGAUAGCUAAUACCGCAUAACAAUGGGUGACACAUGUCAUUUAUUUGAAAGGGGCAAUUGCUCCACUACAAGAUGGACCUGCGUUGUAUUAGCUAGUAGGUGAGGUAACGGCUCACCUAGGCGACGAUACAUAGCCGACCUGAGAGGGUGAUCGGCCACACUGGGACUGAGACACGGCCCAGACUCCUACGGGAGGCAGCAGUAGGGAAUCUUCGGCAAUGGGGGCAACCCUGACCGAGCAACGCCGCGUGAGUGAAGAAGGUUUUCGGAUCGUAAAGACUCUGUUGUAAGUCAAGAACGAGUGUGAGAGUGGAAAGUUCACACUGUGACGGUAGCUUACCAGAAAGGGACGGCUAACUACGUGCCAGCAGCCGCGGUAAUACGUAGGUCCCGAGCGUUGUCCGGAUUUAUUGGGCGUAAAGCGAGCGCAGGCGGUUUGAUAAGUCUGAAGUUAAAGGCUGUGGCUCAACCAUAGUUCGCUUUGGAAACUGUCAAACUUGAGUGCAGAAGGGGAGAGUGGAAUUCCAUGUGUAGCGGUGAAAUGCGUAGAUAUAUGGAGGAACACCGGUGGCGAAAGCGGCUCUCUGGUCUGUAACUGACGCUGAGGCUCGAAAGCGU